GUGCUCACUUUGGCAACGCAUAUACUAAAAUGGAUAUACUUGUUGGAAUAUGCCUUCUCAGUACAGAGAUUAGCUUGGCCCUUGGUGAAGAUGACACCAAAAUUUAUGAAGCAUUCCGUAUUUUU
This 125-nucleotide small nuclear RNA is filed under the name Cervus elaphus hippelaphus. The record is from RNAcentral. Lineage: Eukaryota; Metazoa; Chordata; Mammalia; Artiodactyla; Cervidae.